Molecule: ribosomal RNA, 373 nt
Filed under: uncultured organism
Description: partial 16S ribosomal RNA
Rfam family: Bacterial small subunit ribosomal RNA
Source: RNAcentral
GGGGGGGGGGCAAGCGUUGUUCGGAAUUACUGGGCGUAAAGGGCGCGUAGGCUGUCCCGCAAGUCCUCCGUGAAAUCCCACAGCUCAACUGUGGAAUUGCGAGGGAAACUGCAGGACUUGAGUUCGGGAGAGGAGAGUGGAAUUCCCAGUGUAGCGGUGAAAUGCGUAGAUAUUGGGAGGAACACCGGUGGCGAAGGCGGCUCUCUGGACCGACACUGACGCUGAGGCGCGAAAGCUAGGGGAGCAAACGGGAUUAGAUACCCCGGUAGUCCUAGCCCUAAACGAUGAGCACUUGGUGUGGCGGGUAUCGACCCCUGCCGUGCCGAAGCUAACGCAUUAAGUGCUCCGCCUGGGGAGUACGGUCGCAAGGCUG